GUUCACCUCUUAUAUUUGAUGUGUUUCCCUCAGUUUCAGUUUGUAACCAGGGUUUGUUUUCUUCUUAAUCGAUUUUAAAUUUCGAACAGCGGUAUACUGUUGUUGCCUUUAUCUAUGUCAUUACAAAUCUUAAUUCAUUCAUAUAAUGCAACAAUUUAAUUGUAUAAUAGUAUAAACACAUAAUUACAAUGUUUCAUUAUCAACAUGAUAAAUAUACAGAUUGAUUCCUUGCAACAAAAAUAACAAAAACAAAACAAAGUACAAGGAUGUCCGAUCCACACUAUCAUUUUCUGUUCAUUGGACCAUGAAAAUUAUGUAAAAUCUCUAAUUAGAUCAUAUCAUAUGGAACAUGUGUACUAAGUUUCAUGUUGAUUUGACUUCAAUUUUAUCAAUAACUACCUCGACCAAAAACUUCAACCUGAAGAAAAACUUUAACCUGAAUCUGGACAGACAGACAGAUAAACAAAGUGCCCUUAAAUGGGACAUAUGUAAACCUGAUAACUGCAGUCUCAAUUAAAAAAAAACACAAAUAUAGACUUUAGUGUCCCAAUAACUAAAUUUAAGAAUGUCAAAAAUUUAAAUAAUAAUCAAUACUGAUAAUUCAUUACAUAUAUUUUCAUGAUCAAGUAUAUUUUCAUGGACAUGAUGGUACAUUUUUCAUGUAUUGAGGAACCUCAAAGUUUUGCAUACCAGCUUAUACGAAAAACAUACUUUAUGGAACACUUGAACAUGAAAUUCUUUUUAAAGGAUACCAAAUAGCAUUGGAGAAUCAUUGGAAGAUUUAGAUAUC
This 790-nucleotide long non-coding RNA is filed under the name Mytilus galloprovincialis (Mediterranean mussel). Lineage: Eukaryota; Metazoa; Mollusca; Bivalvia; Mytilida; Mytilidae. The record is from RNAcentral.